AUAUGUUUAUUAUGGGAAAUGCAGAUGGUAUGUAUAUUGGGCUUGAUACAUAAAUCAGAUAUAUUGUAUGUAUAGCAUAGUUAUAUAUGCAAAUAUUUAUCAUUAAAAAAAAAUUAGAUCGCUAAUGUAGUUUCUUUGACUACUUACAAUUGUUUUAAUUAUCAUGUUUAAAAUCUUAUUAAUAUUAAUUAUAGUACUUGUGAAAAUAAAAUAAUAUUACAAUUACAAAAUAUAAUAAUUUUACAAAAAUUAUGAAGUGAUUGCCUCCCUUCAUAUUGUUUUCAGAGUUAUUUAAUUCUUAACAUAUGUUGUAAUAUGUAAUAUAAUAAUGCUGCUAAUAUUUUCCCAGUUUUGACACCAUGUGACUUGUGUUCUGUCUCUCGAUUGGUUCUUCUGUUAAACUCAGACAGGCCAGUGGUGCUGUCAGUGGUGCGGCCCAAAGUGAGCGUCUACCCAGCGACGGGAGCGGAUUUAAAGGGCCGGCGCUCCCUGCUGUGUGUAGCCAGAGACAUGGUCCCUGAGGAGGUCCGGGUGUCCUGGAGGAGGAGAGGGGGGGGCAGAGGGGGGGGGAAGGACGGGGAGCAGCUGGAGCUCAGAGCCCCGACAUACGCUGCCAGCAUCCUGGUUAUUGAUCAGGGAGAAACCCUCACAGAUCAAUACAACUGUACGGUUGAGCAUGAGAGCGGUCGGCAGGAGGUGGAGGUCCCAGCAGAAAUUACCUUGACGUCAGAAGGCCCCGGAAUGAUAGAAAUGACCUUGACGACAGAAGGCCCCGGAAAGACAGAGGUUACCUUAGCGACGGCAGUAACUACGGACCCCCGGCGUCCAGGGAGACCCAGAGAAGGUCCUUCAGAUGAAACACACCAGUCCCUCCAGGUGCUGUCCAGAGCCAGGCUGGCGUCUGUGCUCUACACAGUGAUGGUGGUGAAGAGUGUGCUCUGCUGCUGUGGCCUGGCUCUCCUGCUCCUCCACACCAACAAGACCAGCAGGACGCCCAGAACCAGCACCACCACAGCCCUGGACUGACGCUGCUGUCCCCCAGAACCAGCACCACCACAGCCCUGGACUGACGCUGCUGUCCCCCAGAACCAGCACCACCACAGCCCUGGACUGACGCUGCUGUCCCCCAGAACCAGCAACCACCACAGCCCUGGACUGACGCUCCUGUCCCCCAGAACCAGCAGACCCACCACGUACAACCAUAAGAGGUCAUCAUGUCGUCAUGUCAUCAUGUCAUCAUGUCAUCAUGUUAUUCAUUUCUACUCUCCACGUUCUUCUGCUCUAUUCCCUCCAAUGUUCAGACCAGAAAACUGAAUGAGUGUUUCACAGUUUUCUGUUUCCUGUUUCUUAGUGUGUACUGUCGCCCAUGUAUCAUCUAACACACUCCCUUCAUUUAAACAGGCCCUCAAAACCCACCUUUUCAAGAUCGCUUUCAACACAUAACCUCCUUCCCUUCUCUACCCUCCCUCCUUUUAACUAUUCCUCUCUUUUAUACCUAUUUCAGUUUUUUAGAUAUCUAUUUUUACCCAAUUUUAUCUUCUGACUAAUAUAUGUUAUUAUUAAAUGUUUUUAUUCUGUGUUCACUCUGUUAAGCGACUUUGAGUAUUUAGAAAAGCGCAAUGUGAGCUGAAUGUAUUAUUAUUAUUAUUAUUAUUAUCAUGUAAGAACAUUCUCUUAAAAUAAUAAAACUCUCAAAUGUAACAUUAGCUGGUUGUCUAUUAAUGGAGUUGUAUUCAUAAGGUGAAUUAUGUUAUUAUAUAGAAGCGUAUUUUCUUAAUCUUUGAGUCAGUCUGGAUGGCUCAUGGCCCUCUGUUGGAACAUGUGUGGUUGAACAGGUUGAAGGAACAUUAUACGUAGAACUGUAGGAUAGUUUAACUAUAAGAAUAAAUGAACAUGACAACGAUUCUGAAUAAAACCUUUAGAUGAACAUCAACUAUGCUUCAAGCCACAAUGGAAAUUGAUUUUAACUUUGCUCGAGUGUAAGGUUAACUUUGAACUAGAAUUUAACCGGCUAGUUUCUAGACAUUUAUAAGUCUAGUGUACGCUCAGGGUGUUAAAAUUCAAGGUGCGAUAAAAUUGGAUUACCCCCAAAAUUGGACGUCUUCAUUGGCGAGCAACACACAUUUCAUUCCUUAUUAAACCCCCUCAAUGCUUGAAAAGCUGAAAUCUGCAGACAGACAUAAUGAAAAAGCUUUGCACCCUAUCAAAUGAUUGAUUGUCUUAGUAGUUCUGAAAGAUUAAGGUAGGUUUACUGUGGUUCUAAAUAUUUGUAUAGUUCUGACGGAGCACCAUUUUAUGAUUCUGAAUGAGUUUAUUGUGAAGUCGUUUAUUGUAAUUUUGGAUUAUUUAAUUUGAGUUCUGAAGGAGCACCUUAUUGACUUUAUUGUGGUUGUGAAGGAAUUCUUUGUAGUUCGGGUGUAGUUUAUUCUAAUUUAGGUAAUUUAAGGUCAUUAAGAGAGCAUCAAAACAUGAUAAAGUUAGUGUUUCUUUAUUAUUAAUACCAGGGGAUGCAGGAAAUGGCUGCCCAUGAUAUUUAUACUACCAACCUGUCGCAGUUUCAACGGUUGUUUGUCUUUGUGUAGUUUUGGUUUCUUUCUCCGGAUGUCCUCAGCUAUUCUUUUCCUUCCCAGUCAUCGUUUUCUUCCACCUGUGUUGAUUUGUUAAUAGUGUCCUCAUGUGUAUUUAAGCCCUCUGUUUCUUAUGCAUUUGUCUCAAGGUCCUGUCCUGUAGCUAAACCAGUCUAAUAAGUGUCCUAGUGAAUUAUUAUACUUUUGUUUGAUUUCAAUCAUUAUUUUUGAUAAAUCUGCAGUUUCUGCAGAGAUUAACAUGAUUUUGGUUUAUCCUUCUCAACCUGAGUUUGAGUCUCCUUUUGAGUUUAAAACCUGAUCUUUAAGUUACACUGCCAACAAAUAUCACGUACCAUAUUUAUUUAUGUAGGCUACUAAACACAAGAAAAUGGACAAAAAGAUGUGUAAAGCAGUGCAGUGGGGCGCCCCGGUGGCUCACCGGGUAGAGCGCGUAGCAUAUAAGACUCAGCCCUUACCGCAGUGACGCGGGUUUGAUUCCUGCAGUGGUCCUAUGCUGCAUGUCCCCCGCUCUCUCUCCCUUACCUUCCUGUCUAUCUCACUAUAUCAUAAAGCAUACAAAUAAAUCGUACAAAAAACUCAAUAAAUGCGCAGUUAAUUUUUUUUCAUUAUCUUGGUACAUAAGUAGAUGGAUGGAAAUCUUAAGCAUCGCUUUGCUGUUGUUGUUAGUCUAUUAUUUACGUUUAAUUUGGAAUUGUAUGUAAUUGAAUACACUUAUUUGAAAAGUAAAGUGUUAGUGGAUACAGAUUCCAAUUCAGAAUACAUUUCAUGGUGUGCAUCUGAUUGUUAUGUAUGAAUUUGUCUUCAUAUUUAUAGAUUUAUUCAAUAACAUUUCCAAUAAAAAAUUAUUCAUACAUGUAUAUUCAAUUUCAAAUUUCAGGUGAAUUUUAAUAUGAAAACUAAAAACCAAUAUUUAGCUGAUUCCUAUGAAACAAAUUUAAUGAUUUCUAUCCUUUCUAUUCUUCUAUCCUUUCGAUUUCUAUUUAUUUCUCUAAAUAUUGUAAAUAUUUUGGGCAUAAUGUAUAUAUUUUGGAAUUUGAUUUUUGGAUUUAUAGCCCCUUUCCUGUUGCUAAUAUGUGU
Molecule: long non-coding RNA, 3665 nt
Organism: Gadus morhua (Atlantic cod)
Lineage: Eukaryota; Metazoa; Chordata; Actinopteri; Gadiformes; Gadidae
Source: Ensembl